RNAcentral lists this long non-coding RNA (226 nucleotides) under Marmota monax (woodchuck). The record is from RNAcentral. Lineage: Eukaryota; Metazoa; Chordata; Mammalia; Rodentia; Sciuridae.
CUUUUUGGAGUGGCUUCUUUCUUCCUCCUUAGUAGCUUUGCUAUUUUUCCCAGCACGGGACACCUUCUGGUCCCCAGACUGCUUGAUGGUGAUCUUGAUCUCAGGUGGGCAUAUAUAGUUCUCCAGAUUCUUUGGGGGUUUCUUAGCCCGCUUGGUGGUCUGAAUCUUCAGCUUCAGACUCCCCUCAGUGAAGUUUGCCUCCUUGAUGGAAAACUCCUGCUCUUCC